This 241-nucleotide ribosomal RNA is filed under the name uncultured Actinomycetales bacterium. RNAcentral's name for it is "partial 16S ribosomal RNA". It matches the Rfam family "Bacterial small subunit ribosomal RNA", at positions 89 to 334 of the family's 1533-position model. The record is from RNAcentral. Lineage: Bacteria; Bacillati; Actinomycetota; Actinomycetes; Actinomycetales.
ACUCGAGUGGCGAACGGGUGAGUAACACGUGGGUGAUCUGCCCUGCACUUCGGGAUAAGCUUGGGAAACUGGGUCUAAUACCGGAUAGGAGCCAUUUUUAGUGUGAUGGUUGGAAAGUUUUUCGGUGUAGGAUGAGCUCGCGGCCUAUCAGCUUGUUGGUGGGGUAAUGGCCUACCAAGGCGGCGACGGGUAGCCGGCCUGAGAGGGUGGACGGCCACAUUGGGACUGAGAUACGGCCCAG